GAAGCUGGCUGCCCUGGCCCUGGAACAUAACACACUUGUCCAGCCAUCCGAAAGAGUGGAGUCAGUGGAGUUAAUCUUCCAGCCGGAAUACAUAUUCCCCUGGCAAGUUCCAACAUCUGAUAUGGACAUUCUCACAAAAAAGGUCUUUGAGAAGGUCAUGGGUAUCCGGAGGCUGGAGGAGGAAGAAGUGGUCCUCGUCAAAGAGAUGAAGCAGCACUGGGAAUACCUGAAGCGACGUGCUGAGGUCUUGGAGCAGUCAAUCUCUGGUGACUGUUGGAACCUGUCACCAAAAGGGAGGAAGGGACUCCAAAGUUUGCCCCAGAGGAA
This is a long non-coding RNA of Osmerus eperlanus (European smelt), 327 nucleotides long. RefSeq lists it as uncharacterized. Lineage: Eukaryota; Metazoa; Chordata; Actinopteri; Osmeriformes; Osmeridae. The transcript has 3 exons. The record is from RefSeq and is a predicted model, not a curated record.